Xenia sp. Carnegie-2017 is the source of this 355-nucleotide long non-coding RNA. RefSeq lists it as uncharacterized. The transcript has 2 exons. The record is from RefSeq and is a predicted model, not a curated record. Lineage: Eukaryota; Metazoa; Cnidaria; Anthozoa; Malacalcyonacea; Xeniidae.
UUCGCGCGCGUAACGAUGGUGACAUUUAAUAUUUAUCUUUCAGUUCACGUUUCACGUGACAAAUUUCAAUAUGGCUUCUGUGCUCCGAUCUCUCGAUUUAGCUGCAAAUCAAUAUCGGUCGUAUGGUCGUUGAUCAACAUUAAUAUAAAUUCUGUUCAUUAAAGAGAACGGCUGACUACGCUUCUUCUCAAAUAUUGCUGUUCUGAUGCCGUUGUUCGUAUCUUCGUAAUACACGUCAAUUGGAAUCUUAUUCGUAAACAUUACAAUCGGUAUAGUUUUACCGAAACUCUCUAAGCCUCGACAAUAUUUUUCCGUACAAAAAGCAAAAUGAGUAAACGACUAAGAAUUUGGAAAA